Dreissena polymorpha is the source of this 571-nucleotide long non-coding RNA. RefSeq lists it as uncharacterized. The transcript has 2 exons. The record is from RefSeq and is a predicted model, not a curated record. NCBI's taxonomy places the organism in Eukaryota, Metazoa, Mollusca, Bivalvia, Myida, Dreissenidae.
CGUACCCUUUGGGUCAAAAGUACAGAUACGCCAACAGCUUAAAAUAGAUAUCACAGCGGUGACAAAAUUGUUACCGCGGUGACAUUUUUGUCACUGCGGUAAUAAAUUUAUCACUGCGGUGAUAUAUUUGUAACUGUUGUGAUACUUUGUUUGACCCAAACAGUUUGAUAAGAGCUAAAUCGAACUAACCAAUGAAACAACGUCUUGCAAAACGGCAAAUCGGCGAAUAUUUACUGCGAAGUUUUCAAGAUGUCUGCCUCCAUGGAUACUGUAAACAACUUUUCAGAUCAUGAGUUUGGUAAUUUUAAUCUUCGGACACAAGGAUGACGACAAUUAAGAGUCCAUCAAUGGUUGUGAAAUCAAGGAUAUUCUAUUGGAAGGAAAGACAUGAAUGCAUUCAAGUUUCCUGUGAGCAAUAUGAUUUCCUGACUUUGCCUUACAGUAUAAAACAAGAGAGUUAAACACUUGAAACUUGAAAAGAUGUGGUCCUAGAACCUGAAAUGGCAACUCCAGCUCUCUACAAAAGCAUCAUCUGGAAUCCAACUAUGUACAAUCAAAAAAUUAAUGUGUG